AAUUUAGCUCAAUGUUCAGAACUUCAGGUGCUGUCUUUGUCUUUCAACGAAUUUGGAGGUUCCAUACCAAAAGAAAUUGGAGCACUGAAGAAGCUUGAGGAGCUAUACUUGGGUCACAACUAUUUAGAAGGUCAAAUUCCAAAAGAGAUUGGUAAUUCAACUAUGAUUACAAUACAAAAUUUUGCAUACAACAACUUAACAGGUGUAAUACCACGAGAGAUUGGUAACUGGUACUUUCUCGAAGAACUCGACAUGGAAUUCAAUAGCUUAACU
Long non-coding RNA from Coffea eugenioides, 273 nucleotides. RefSeq lists it as uncharacterized. The transcript is spliced from 3 exons. NCBI's taxonomy places the organism in Eukaryota, Viridiplantae, Streptophyta, Magnoliopsida, Gentianales, Rubiaceae. The record is from RefSeq and is a predicted model, not a curated record.